Molecule: non-coding RNA, 201 nt
Filed under: Virgibacillus necropolis
Lineage: Bacteria; Bacillati; Bacillota; Bacilli; Caryophanales; Bacillaceae
Source: RNAcentral
GUUUUAUCCUACAAGUUUGGUGGCCAAAUUUAGUGGCCUUAAUAGGGAAUCUGGUGCAAAACCAGAACUGUCCCCGCAACUGUGAAUGUGAACGAACGAGAAAUUAUCCACUGUAUUGUUAGCUUAACGUUAAUAAUAUGGGAAGGUACUCAAGUAGAUGAACACAUAAGUCAGGAGACCUGCCAAACCUUGUGAAAAGUU